RNAcentral lists this long non-coding RNA (604 nucleotides) under Manihot esculenta (cassava). Its description in RNAcentral is "long non-coding RNA (MESC_LNC008885)". Lineage: Eukaryota; Viridiplantae; Streptophyta; Magnoliopsida; Malpighiales; Euphorbiaceae. The record is from RNAcentral.
AUAUGUGCACCUUCCGAUAAUUCCUACAUCAAUCUCCCCUUCUCUCUUCUUCCCCUCUGCAAAAACCACCUCCACCUCCACCCACCAGUACCUCUACCAUGGAGAUGCAAGAAAAGAUCAUACAGUACAAGUAUCAUAUCUUCUUCUCCCUCAUCAUCUCUCUUGUACUUGCAACUCUAAUCUUUUUAGCACCAAGUUUUGUCACGAUCUUGGCCUACUUCUGGCCUCUGUUUCUCUCCACAGCUCUGUUUCUUGUUGCUGUCGUCUUCUUCGGCAAGACCUCUCCACCGGCUACUGAAUCUUCCGGCGACAAAGCGGGCGAAGGACUCUUGGACUAUGUUGCUGGGCAAUCUGAACAAGUGGUAGAAAAUUUCACGCCUGAGUAGUUCAUUUUUCUUGUAAUCUUUCUAACCCCUGUUUUCUUUUUCUUUGAAAAUCCCCUUGUUUCCUUUUCUUGUUCCCCAUCUCCUUCUUCUUCCCUCUGGUUUGUAGUUGACGGAAUGUGAACUGUAAAUGAUGGGAAGAUUGUGUUUAUUAGUUAUUGAUUAUGAAACUGAUCUCUAUCUCCCCUGGUUUUAAUUUAAUUUUUAUCUUUUGUUUGGAG